UCUUCUCAGUUCCCAAUCACGCUCACGAGGCUGGACCAAGGGGGAAACUGAGGCAGCAAGAUAUUCAAGUCCUUAUCUGAGGCCACACAGUAAAAUGGGCCUUCAAGCAGGCCUGGUGAACCAGGAUCUCUACCCAGGCUUGCCAUUUAUCAAUACCCGCUACCUGCCUCUUCGUGAACUACAGAAGAAAAUCUACUUUCUGUAGGCAGUGGGAGAUCUUGGUUUGCCUUCAUUAGGGAGAUACAGGGCCUCACGCAGAUCUGGGACAUCACCUGAGGCCCUCCGGAGGGACCAUCGGCAUGCACAUGGAACCCUGUGUCUCAUGGGAAGCUUCUUUGUCUUAGCCCCGUGGUCCCAAAGGGAUCAGGUUCCCUCCCCAGAUGACUCCCAGUGCCUGGCUGAGCAGGAGGGAAGUCUAGAGCUGACAUGCUGAUCCUUCAACUGAGGCCGUGUAAACUGCUCAUUCCUUCACCAUGAGUUUCAGGAAAUACUGUAGAGUGUCUGACAACACCCUGGCUGGCAAUCCUGGAUGCAGAGAGAGGAGCUGGGGCUUCCUGUUCACCAGAGCCCUGAACUAAAAGCCUAUAUGGCACUGUCCGUUCAAGGGCUUCUGGGCAUCCAGUCUCAGCCCCACCCAGAGCCUGCAUGGCUCCUCCUCGCCUUUGUCGUCGGAUGAGGUCUUCCACUCUGGCCUUGUGUGAGCAGAGGGGCUUCAGAUCACCUGCAUGUUCACUGGUUAUGGUUGUCCAGACUCCGAUUUGGGGGCUGGGGAUAUAGCAUAAGUAGUUGGUAGGAGGCCCUGGGCUCAUCUAUAGUUCCACAAAAGAAAGCCCACAAAUUGUGUGACCUCAUCCUAUAUUUGAAAAUUCAGUCUCUGUGGCUGGAAUCGAGACCUCUCGGCAUAUUUAUCAGUUCCUUAUGCAACUUUGAAGACCACUGAUUUAAAGGAAGAGCUGCAUUUCUCCCUAGCUCUUUCUUGCCCUCACAGGACCUUCCUUCAUGCUCACUCUUCAUGUUAAUAACUAUCUGAGAACUAAUUAAUUGGUCUCCUUAUUGCCAAAUCACACUAAUGUAAUUAAGCCUUGACAUUGCA
Molecule: long non-coding RNA, 1093 nt
Organism: Mastomys coucha (southern multimammate mouse)
Lineage: Eukaryota; Metazoa; Chordata; Mammalia; Rodentia; Muridae
Exons: 2
Source: RefSeq, a predicted model, not a curated record